RNAcentral lists this ribosomal RNA (722 nucleotides) under uncultured bacterium. RNAcentral describes it as "bacterial SSU rRNA". It matches the Rfam family "Bacterial small subunit ribosomal RNA", at positions 74 to 789 of the family's 1533-position model. The record is from RNAcentral.
GCUUGCUCCCAGGCGUCGAGUGGCGGACGGGUGCGUAACGCGUAGGAAUCUACCCAGUAGUUGGGGACAACUCGGAGAAAUCCGAGCUAAUACCGAAUACGGUCUACGGACUAAAGGGGGCCUCUUCUUGAAAGCUCUCGCUACUGGAUGAGCCUGCGUCAGAUUAGCUAGUUGGUGGGGUAAUGGCCUACCAAGGCGACGAUCUGUAGCUGGUCUGAGAGGAUGAUCAGCCACACUGGGACUGAGACACGGCCCAGACUCCUACGGGAGGCAGCAGUGGGGAAUAUUGGACAAUGGGGGCAACCCUGAUCCAGCAAUACCGCGUGUGUGAAGAAGGCCCGAGGGUUGUAAAGCACUUUCAGUAAGGAGGAAAUCAUUAAGGUUAAUAACCUUGAUAGUUGACGUUACUUACAGAAGAAGCACCGGCUAACUCCGUGCCAGCAGCCGCGGUAAUACGGAAGGUGCAAGCGUUAAUCGGAAUUACUGGGCGUAAAGCGCGCGUAGGCGGCUUGGUCAGUCAGAUGCGAAAGCCCUGGGCUUAACCUGGGAACUGCAUUUGAUACUGCUAAGCUAGAGUGUGGUAGAGGGAAGUGGAAUUCCGGGUGUAGCGGUGAAAUGCGUAGAGAUCCGGAGGAACAUCAGUGGCGAAGGCGGCUUCCCUGGACCAACCACUGACGCUGAGGUGCGAAAGCGUGGGUAGCAAACAGGAUUAGAUACCCCUG